This 165-nucleotide ribosomal RNA is filed under the name uncultured bacterium. RNAcentral's name for it is "partial 16S rRNA". It matches the Rfam family "Bacterial small subunit ribosomal RNA", at positions 355 to 511 of the family's 1533-position model. The record is from RNAcentral.
UGGGGAAUAUUGCACAAUGGGGGAAACCCUGAUGCAGCAACGCCGCGUGAGUGAAGAAGGUUUUCGGAUCGUAAAGCUCUGUUGUAAGAGAAGAACGUGUGUGAGAGUGGAAAGUUCACACAGUGAUGGUAACUUACCAGAAAGGGACGGCUAACUACGUGCCAG